This is a long non-coding RNA of Mus musculus (house mouse), 732 nucleotides long. RefSeq annotates it as predicted gene, 19391. The record is from RefSeq and is a predicted model, not a curated record. NCBI's taxonomy places the organism in Eukaryota, Metazoa, Chordata, Mammalia, Rodentia, Muridae. The transcript has 2 exons.
GCAGGAACUGAGCUCCGCACAGGGUGUGGUCGCCCAGCUGCUGCUCUGGGCGGAGCUGGCCCAGGCCUGCGCUGGCGACUAGGAGGGGAUGGGCCAGCUUCCUGACUCCAGAACCAGACAAACCAUCAGCCUCUGCACAAGGACCAGUUCGGUUCCAAAUUCCCCACGGUUGAUGCUCUCUCAAAUCUGAGUGAUCAUGAAGGAGGCCAUGUAUUGAACAGCUCCCGUAAAAAGCUGUGAUCAUCACCGGAAAGGUGAUUUCACCGUGCAGUGAGACAUGAACCUGGAUGUCCUAGCAGUACAGUGAGGAAACUAAUCAUUUUAUGUUUUGGCUCAUUCAUAUCACAUUAAGCUAAUUGGAAAUUCUGUAAGUCAUUUAAGAGUCAAAAUUCCAGAUGAAAAGGGAAUUCUGUCUCUUGCCCAGACUAUCAACCCAUCCCAUCCCCAAAAUAAAUGUAAACAAUUCUCAGUUGUAAAAACAUGACACUUAAGUAUGGAAAUCACCAUCAUUACUAAUUCGUGUGAAUACUUCACAUUUUAAAAGCAACUGUAAUUGUUUUAAAUAAUAGAAUUUCAAUUGCCUUUAAAACCUUGCCUCAGCAUUUUGAAAUUUAAAAAGCUCUGUUAAGACUUCCGUGUUUCUGGGGAGAUUGGGCUGUGUCAGGAGGGCCUGGGAGGAGAGGGGCCCUCCCUCUGGAUGUAAAGUGAAUAAAUAAAUGAAUGGAAAAAAGA